UACGGGGGGGGCAAGCGUUGUUCGGAAUUACUGGGCGUAAAGGGCGCGUAGGCGGCCUGCUAAGUCGGAUGUGAAAUCCCUCGGCUCAACCGAGGAACUGCAUCCGAUACUGGCGGGCUUGAAUCCGGGAGAGGGAUGUGGAAUGCCAGGUGUAGCGGUGGAAUGCGUAGAUAUCUGGAGGAACACCGGUGGCGAAGGCGGCAUCCUGGACCGGUAUUGACGCUGAGGCGCGAAAGCUAGGGGAGCAAACGGG
Molecule: ribosomal RNA, 253 nt
Filed under: uncultured bacterium
Lineage: Bacteria
Description: partial 16S ribosomal RNA
Rfam family: Bacterial small subunit ribosomal RNA
Source: RNAcentral